RNAcentral lists this ribosomal RNA (472 nucleotides) under uncultured organism. Its description in RNAcentral is "partial 16S ribosomal RNA". It matches the Rfam family "Bacterial small subunit ribosomal RNA", at positions 334 to 797 of the family's 1533-position model. The record is from RNAcentral.
CACUCCUACGGGAGGCAGCAGUGGGGAAUAUUGCACAAUGGGCGCAAGCCUGAUGCAGCCAUGCCGCGUGUAUGAAGAAGGCCUUCGGGUUGUAAAGUACUUUCAGCGGGGAGGAAGGCGAUAAGGUUAAUAACCUUGUCGAUUGACGUUACCCGCAGAAGAAGCACCGGCUAACUCCGUGCCAGCAGCCGCGGUAAUACGGAGGGUGCAAGCGUUAAUCGGAAUUACUGGGCGUAAAGCGCACGCAGGCGGUCUGUCAAGUCGGAUGUGAAAUCCCCAGGCUCAACCUGGGAACUGCAUUCGAAACUGGCAGGCUAGAGUCUUGUAGAGGGGGGUAGAAUUCCAGGUGUAGCGGUGAAAUGCGUAGAGAUCUGGAGGAAUACCGGUGGCGAAGGCGGCCCCCUGGACAAAGACUGACGCUCAGGUGCGAAAGCGUGGGGAGCAAACAGGAUUAGAUACCCCAGUAGUCCCA